GGUUGAUUAGCUCAGUUGGUUAGAGCGCCGAGCUAAUAUCUGCUGAUAUUUGGCACUCGGAGGCCAUCGGUUCGAGACCGAUAUUGACCA
This is a non-coding RNA of Ceratobasidium sp. 394, 90 nucleotides long. The record is from the annotation of a GenBank genome assembly. Lineage: Eukaryota; Fungi; Basidiomycota; Agaricomycetes; Cantharellales; Ceratobasidiaceae.